This 484-nucleotide ribosomal RNA is filed under the name uncultured bacterium. RNAcentral's name for it is "partial 16S ribosomal RNA". It matches the Rfam family "Bacterial small subunit ribosomal RNA", at positions 30 to 507 of the family's 1533-position model. The record is from RNAcentral.
AUUGAACGCUGGCGGCAUGCUUUACACAUGCAAGUCGAACGGUAACAGGGUGCUUGCACCGCUGACGAGUGGCGAACGGGUGAGUAAUGCAUCGGAAUGUACCGUGUAAUGGGGGAUAGCUCGGCGAAAGCCGGAUUAAUACCGCAUACGCCCUGAGGGGGAAAGUGGGGGACCGAAAGGCCUCACGUUAUACGAGCAGCCGAUGUCUGAUUAGCUAGUUGGUGAGGUAAAGGCUCACCAAGGCGUCGAUCAGUAGCGGGUCUGAGAGGAUGAUCCGCCACACUGGGACUGAGACACGGCCCAGACUCCUACGGGAGGCAGCAGUGGGGAAUUUUGGACAAUGGGCGCAAGCCUGAUCCAGCCAUGCCGCGUGUCUGAAGAAGGCCUUCGGGUCGUAAAGGACUUUUGUCCGGGAGCAAAUCCUAGUGGUUAAUAACCGCUGGGUCUGAGAGUACCGGAAGAAUAAGCACCGGCUAACUACGUG